This 434-nucleotide ribosomal RNA is filed under the name uncultured Oscillospiraceae bacterium. RNAcentral's name for it is "partial 16S ribosomal RNA". It matches the Rfam family "Bacterial small subunit ribosomal RNA", at positions 341 to 792 of the family's 1533-position model. Lineage: Bacteria; Bacillati; Bacillota; Clostridia; Eubacteriales; Oscillospiraceae. The record is from RNAcentral.
ACGGAAGGCAGCAGUGGGGAAUAUUGGGCAAUGGGGGAAACCCUGACCCAGCAACGCCGCGUGAAGGAAGAAGGCCCUCGGGUUGUAAACUUCUUUUACCAGGGGCGAUAAUGACGGUACCUGGGGAAAAAGCAACGGCUAACUACGUGCCAGCAGCCGCGGUAAUACGUAGGUUGCAAGCGUUGUCCGGAUUUACUGGGUGUAAAGGGCGUGUAGGCGGAACUGCAAGUCAGAUGUGAAAUCCCGGGGCUCAACCCCGGAACUGCAUUUGAAACUGGAGUCCUUGAGUAUCGGAGAGGCAAGCGGAAUUCCUGGUGUAGCGGUGAAAUGCGUAGAUAUUAGGAGGAACACCAGUGGCGAAGGCGGCUUGCUGGACGACAACUGACGCUGAGGCGCGAAAGCGUGGGGAGCAAACAGGAUUAGAUACCCUGGUA